UGAAUCAACUUGAUGGUUUGUUCCCCCGGGAGCAAUCUUUCUUGUGCACUUCCUUGUUUGGCAGGUUAGCAUCAAUUUCGGUUGUCAUCAAAAAAUUGAGGGAAUGUGACUUCUUUCGGGAAGUGUUAUAGACCUUGAUAUAUGUGAUAACCGGGAUUGAGGAUUGCAGCGGAUGCUUUUGGGCUAGUCACCCACCSUCUSACGGUUACCUCGCUUUCGAUAGCUUGCUAACGAUUGUGGGAUUUAAUAGUCUAGAUGUUGGAGUGAUCUUAUAUUCGCUAAGGA
Molecule: ribosomal RNA, 285 nt
Filed under: Acaulospora tuberculata
Lineage: Eukaryota; Fungi; Glomeromycota; Glomeromycetes; Diversisporales; Acaulosporaceae
Description: partial 28S ribosomal RNA
Source: RNAcentral